Hibiscus syriacus is the source of this 142-nucleotide long non-coding RNA. RefSeq lists it as uncharacterized. The record is from RefSeq and is a predicted model, not a curated record. NCBI's taxonomy places the organism in Eukaryota, Viridiplantae, Streptophyta, Magnoliopsida, Malvales, Malvaceae. The transcript is spliced from 3 exons.
GCUAUGAGUCCUUCAUGAGCCGACAAAGCCACGGUCUUAUUCUCCAACAUAUUCCAUAGCUCCAAAGACUGAACCAACAUGGAAACAUUGCAUGUCAUGAUAAAAUUGCAAGGUAAACUAAAGCCAACAAAUAAGUACAAGG